UUUUGUUGUAGGAGCUGAACCGGUGGCCAGUGACAGAUUCUCACUCGAGGCGAUAAUAAUUUGCGGAACGCUGGCUGCGUUACUCCUGAUAUCGAUUAUCACCUUCACUCUCAUUAUUUGCCGACUAAGGCGACUGCAAAGUAAAUAAACCGUUCCUGGUGUCAUAUUGAAAUCCAAUAAUUGGAAGAAUGUUUUAGCGUUUCUUACAUACACUGACCUCACAAAUCAUACUAAAAGAAUAUCGCAGAAUAUCAAAUGAACCGACUAUAAUAAAUAACAAUAUUACUGCAAUGCUACACUGACAGUAAAUCCCACAG
This is a non-coding RNA of Pelobates cultripes (western spadefoot toad), 317 nucleotides long. The record is from the annotation of a GenBank genome assembly. Lineage: Eukaryota; Metazoa; Chordata; Amphibia; Anura; Pelobatidae.